Molecule: ribosomal RNA, 639 nt
Filed under: Muribacter muris
Lineage: Bacteria; Pseudomonadati; Pseudomonadota; Gammaproteobacteria; Pasteurellales; Pasteurellaceae
Description: partial 16S ribosomal RNA
Rfam family: Bacterial small subunit ribosomal RNA
Source: RNAcentral
UNGNNCNNNNNNNGANGAGNNNNNNNUNUNUUGCUGACGAGUGGCGGACGGGUGAGUAAUGCUUGGGAAUCUGGCUUAUGGAGGGGGAUAACUACUGGAAACGGUAGCUAAUACCGCGUAAUGUCUNNGGACUAAAGGGGGCGAAAGCUCUUGCCAUAAGAUGAGCCCAAGUGGGAUUAGGUAGUUGGUGAGGUAANGGCUCACCAAGCCGNCGAUCUCUAGCUGGUCUGAGAGGAUGACCAGCCACACUGGAACUGAGACACGGUCCAGACUCCUACGGGAGGCAGCAGUGGGGAAUAUUGCACAAUGGGGGAAACCCUGAUGCAGCCAUGCCGCGUGAAUGAAGAAGGCCUUCGGGUUGUAAAGUUCUUUCGGUGAUGAGGAAGGUGUAAUGGUUAAUACCCGUUACAAUUGACGUUAGUCACAGAAGAAGCACCGGCUAACUCCGUGCCAGCAGCCGCGGUAAUACGGAGGGUGCGAGCGUUAAUCGGAAUAACUGGGCGUAAAGGGCACGCAGGCGGUUGUUUAAGUGAGGUGUGAAAGCCCUGGGCUCAACCUGGGAAUUGCAUUUCAGACUGGACAACUAGAGUACUUUAGGGAGGGGUAGAAUUCCACGUGUAGCGGUGAAAUGCGUAGAGA